AGGAUAAACGCUGGCGGCGUGCCUAACACAUGCAAGUCGAACGUCUCUUCUUUCGGGAAGAGGAGUGGCGGACGGGUGAGGAACACGUGGGAACCUGCCCUUUAGUGAGGAAUACCGGCGAGAAAUCGCCGACAAGACCGCAUAGCCCUCUUUGAUGAGAGUCAAAGAAGGAAAGCUUCGCAAGAGGCGCUAGAGGAGGGGCCUGCGUCCGAUUAGCUAGUUGGUGGGGUAAGAGCCUACCAAGGCGUCGAUCGGUAGCUGGUCUGAGAGGACGAUCAGCCACACUGGGAUUGAGAACGGCCCAGACUCCUACGGGGGCAGCAGUGAGGAAUUUUCGGCAAUGGGGGAAACCCUGACCGAGCAACGCCGCGUGCAGGAAGACGGCCUUGGUUGUAAACUGCUUUUCUUUGGUACGAGAACGGACGGUACCAGAGGAAUCAGCCCGGCUCGACUACGUGCCAGCAGCCGC
This 469-nucleotide ribosomal RNA is filed under the name uncultured bacterium. RNAcentral's name for it is "SSU rRNA". It matches the Rfam family "Bacterial small subunit ribosomal RNA", at positions 26 to 518 of the family's 1533-position model. The record is from RNAcentral.